GCGGCAGUAGCUCAGUGGUAGAGACCCGCCUGGCAUGCGAGGAGGCCUGGGUUUGAUCCCCGGCUGCUUCC
Molecule: transfer RNA, 71 nt
Organism: Toxocara canis (dog roundworm)
Lineage: Eukaryota; Metazoa; Nematoda; Chromadorea; Rhabditida; Toxocaridae
Rfam family: tRNA
About the family: Transfer RNA (tRNA) molecules are approximately 80 nucleotides in length. Their secondary structure includes four short double-helical elements and three loops (D, anti-codon, and T loops).
Source: Rfam